UACGUAGGGUGCGAGCGUUAAUCGGAAUUACUGGGCGUAAAGCGUGCGCAGGCGGCGCGUUAAGACAGGUGUGAAAGCCCCGAGCUUAACUUGGGAAUUGCGCUUGUGACUGGCGAGCUGGAGUGUGGCAGAGGGAGGUGGAAUUCCACGUGUAGCAGUGAAAUGCGUAGAGAUGUGGAGGAGCACCGGUGGCGAAGGCGGCAUCCUGGACCGGUAUUGACGCUGAGGCGCGAAAGCUAGGGGAGCAAACGGG
Molecule: ribosomal RNA, 253 nt
Filed under: uncultured bacterium
Lineage: Bacteria
Description: partial 16S ribosomal RNA
Rfam family: Bacterial small subunit ribosomal RNA
Source: RNAcentral